AGCGAACGCUGGCGGCAGGCCUAACACAUGCAAGUCGAACGAACUCUUCGGAGUUAGUGGCGGACGGGUGAGUAACACGUGGGAACGUGCCUUUUGGUUCGGAAUAACUCAGGGAAGCUUGUGCUAAUACCGAAUGUGCCCUUCGGGGGAAAGAUUUAUCGCCAUUAGAGCGGCCCGCGUCUGAUUAGCUAGUUGGUGAGGUAACGGCUCACCAAGGCGACGAUCAGUAGCUGGUCUGAGAGGAUGACCAGCCACACUGGGACUGAGACACGGCCCAGACUCCUACGGGAAGCAGCAGUGGGGAAUCUUGCGCAAUGGGCGAAAGCCUGACGCAGCCAUGCCGCGUGAAUGAUGAAGGUCUUAGGAUUGUAAAAUUCUUUCACCGGGGACGAUAAUGACGGUACCCGGAGAAGAAGCCCCGGCUAACUUCGUG
This 433-nucleotide ribosomal RNA is filed under the name uncultured bacterium. RNAcentral describes it as "partial 16S ribosomal RNA". It matches the Rfam family "Bacterial small subunit ribosomal RNA", at positions 29 to 507 of the family's 1533-position model. The record is from RNAcentral.